Molecule: ribosomal RNA, 436 nt
Filed under: uncultured Bradyrhizobiaceae bacterium
Lineage: Bacteria; Pseudomonadati; Pseudomonadota; Alphaproteobacteria; Hyphomicrobiales; Nitrobacteraceae
Description: bacterial SSU rRNA
Rfam family: Bacterial small subunit ribosomal RNA
Source: RNAcentral
CGGGGGGCAGCAGUGGGGAAUAUUGGACAAUGGGCGCAAGCCUGAUCCAGCCAUGCCGCGUGAGUGAUGAAGGCCCUAGGGUUGUAAAGCUCUUUUGUGCGGGAAGAUAAUGACGGUACCGCAAGAAUAAGCCCCGGCUAACUUCGUGCCAGCAGCCGCGGUAAUACGAAGGGGGCUAGCGUUGCUCGGAAUCACUGGGCGUAAAGGGUGCGUAGGCGGGUCUUUAAGUCAGGGGUGAAAUCCUGGAGCUCAACUCCAGAACUGCCUUUGAUACUGAAGAUCUUGAGUUCGGGAGAGGUGAGUGGAACUGCGAGUGUAGAGGUGAAAUUCGUAGAUAUUCGCAAGAACACCAGUGGCGAAGGCGGCUCACUGGCCCGAUACUGACGCUGAGGCACGAAAGCGUGGGGAGCAAACAGGAUUAGAUACCCGUGUAGUC